Molecule: long non-coding RNA, 544 nt
Organism: Haliotis rubra (blacklip abalone)
Lineage: Eukaryota; Metazoa; Mollusca; Gastropoda; Lepetellida; Haliotidae
Exons: 3
Source: RefSeq, a predicted model, not a curated record
GCCGGUCGAGAUGGUUUUAAGAUCAGGCCAUCAGUAUUUACAGAUCUGGAGAAGAGGUGAAGUGAUAGUGGUGACAUGGAGACGUGAGUACUUAGACGAACCAGGUGAAUAUGCUUGGGUCUGGUGUGUACUGUACAAAGCUGGCCUCGAUCUGACUGGACCCUGCCUGGUACAAGAAGCUGUUGGCCUCCCACUGCCCGAUGACGUCCACACCACUGGACUGAGUGUUCUUGACCAGCUUCAGAGAUAGAUCAGCAGAGGAGAACACUUGACCAUCAGCUCUGAAGAAGAUCAGAUCAUAUGAUUGCAACAUGUUGAUGUCACCUAAGGACUUAAGGAAAUAAUUUGUUGAGUGGUUGGGUGUUUGUAAGGUGAAACAGGACCUUAAUGUGGCAUUCAAGGAUGCAACAUUCAUAUAAAGGACGAUAACCAUAAUACUGACCACAGACAAGGAUGGACUUUGUUUACAUUCACAUAGAUAUUUGAGACACGUGAACCAAAUACAUCUGGAUUCUGCAACGCCUAAAGGGCUGAACUUUCCAAU